UGCUUUUAUUUUUCUUUCUUCAUCUCUAGCUCUCUCUUUCUCAUUCUCUUUCUCUCAUACUCUCACCCUGUCACACACACAUUACUAGCGGAGAACAAAGUCGGAAUUUAAAGUUUGAUUCACCCAAGAGAAGAGUUUCUGAAGAGAGGGAGCUGCAUGAUGUACUUUGAAGAGAGAAGAAGAAGAAACAUAAAGACAUGUUGUGUUUCUCUAGAGAUGGUAGUGGUAGAGUUUCUGAAGAUCGGGCUCCAGCCAAAUGGGCACUAUAUGGAGCUGAUUAAUGAUGAGUCCUCAAGGGCAUGCUAUUUGAGCGGUCAGCCGGUCACCGAGUUGAUUUUGUUGCAUUAGGCGUUUUUUUAUGGGGUUGGUAUUAAAAAGCUCUGAAAGGCUUUACCUUUAAAGCGAAUAUUAUUG
Molecule: long non-coding RNA, 414 nt
Organism: Quercus lobata
Lineage: Eukaryota; Viridiplantae; Streptophyta; Magnoliopsida; Fagales; Fagaceae
Exons: 2
Source: RefSeq, a predicted model, not a curated record